This 132-nucleotide small RNA is filed under the name Escherichia coli. RNAcentral's name for it is "RtT sRNA". It matches the Rfam family "RtT RNA". From Rfam's summary of the family: This family represents a bacterial cis-regulatory element known as RtT RNA. The exact function of RtT is unknown although it is thought that it may be involved in changing the cellular response in relation to amino acid starvation. Lineage: Bacteria; Pseudomonadati; Pseudomonadota; Gammaproteobacteria; Enterobacterales; Enterobacteriaceae. The record is from RNAcentral.
GUUUGCACUCAUCGGGGAAGGGUGAGAACCUUCGACUAAGGUUCGAUUCGAGCGAAAGCGAGAGAACGUUGCCACAGGCAACGGCCCGAAGGGUGAGGAGCGAAGCGACGAAUAAUCCUUCCCCCACCCCCA